This 292-nucleotide ribosomal RNA is filed under the name uncultured bacterium. Its description in RNAcentral is "partial 16S ribosomal RNA". It matches the Rfam family "Bacterial small subunit ribosomal RNA", at positions 505 to 796 of the family's 1533-position model. The record is from RNAcentral.
GUGCCAGCAGCCGCGGUAAUACGAAGGACCCGAGCGUUAUCCGGAUUUAUUGGGUUUAAAGGGUGCGUAGGCGGAUUAAUAAGUCAGUGGUGAAAGCCUCCCGCUUAACGGGAGAAUUGCCAUUGAUACUGUUAAUCUUGAGUAUGGUUGAGGUGGGCGGAAUGUGUCAUGUAGCGGUGAAAUGCUUAGAUAUGACACAGAACACCAAUUGCGAAGGCAGCUCGCUAAACCAUAACUGACGCUGAGGCACGAAAGCGUGGGUAGCAAACAGGAUUAGAAACCCCAGUAGUCC